RNAcentral lists this ribosomal RNA (253 nucleotides) under uncultured bacterium. Its description in RNAcentral is "partial 16S ribosomal RNA". It matches the Rfam family "Bacterial small subunit ribosomal RNA", at positions 524 to 776 of the family's 1533-position model. The record is from RNAcentral.
UACGUAGGAUGCAAGCGUUGUCCGGAAUUAUUGGGCGUAAAGAGCGCGCAGGCGGUCUAUCAAGUCAGAUGUGAAAUAUCCCGGCUUAACCGGGAGGGGUCAUUUGAAACUGGUAGACUAGAGUACAGCAGAGGAUAGCGGAAUUCCCGGUGUAGUGGUGAAAUGCGUAGAUAUCGUAAGGAAAACCAGUGGCGAAGGCGGGUCUCUGGACAGCUCCUGACACUGAGGCACGAAGGCCAGGGGAGCAAACGGG